RNAcentral lists this ribosomal RNA (497 nucleotides) under uncultured bacterium. RNAcentral's name for it is "partial 16S ribosomal RNA". It matches the Rfam family "Bacterial small subunit ribosomal RNA", at positions 28 to 507 of the family's 1533-position model. The record is from RNAcentral.
GAUGAACGCUGGCGGCGUGCCUAAUACAUGCAAGUCGAGCGAACAGACGAGGAGCUUGCUCCUCUGACGUUAGCGGCGGACGGGUGAGUAACACGUGGAUAACCUACCUAUAAGACUGGGAUAACUUCGGGAAACCGGAGCUAAUACCGGAUAAUAUAUUGAACCGCAUGGUUCAAUAGUGAAAGACGGUUUUGCUGUCACUUAUAGAUGGAUCCGCGCCGCAUUAGCUAGUUGGUAAGGUAACGGCUUACCAAGGCAACGAUGCGUAGCCGACCUGAGAGGGUGAUCGGCCACACUGGAACUGAGACACGGUCCAGACUCCUACGGGGGGCAGCAGUAGGGAAUCUUCCGCAAUGGGCGAAAGCCUGACGGAGCAACGCCGCGUGAGUGAUGAAGGUCUUCGGAUCGUAAAACUCUGUUAUUAGGGAAGAACAAAUGUGUAAGUAACUAUGCACGUCCUGACGGUACCUAAUCAGAAAGCCACGGCUAACUACGUG